Molecule: long non-coding RNA, 18947 nt
Filed under: Populus trichocarpa (black cottonwood)
Lineage: Eukaryota; Viridiplantae; Streptophyta; Magnoliopsida; Malpighiales; Salicaceae
Description: long non-coding RNA (PTRI_LNC004490)
Source: RNAcentral
UAUGAUCAGGAUUCACAACUUCCACUUGAUAUUAACAAGUUGGCGAAGUCCUUGAGAGCGGAUAUGGAAAUGUUGCAUUCUUUCUCCGAUCAAUGUUGUAUCUACAGAGCCCCUGUUCGACUACGUGAGUCGAAUGAAAAGAUCUUCACACAAUCACACCUCAAGUAGUAAGCCUUGGUCCAAUUCACCAUGGAAAAGAAGAGCUUAAAGCAAUGCAGGAGCACAAAAUAUUGUACUUGCAAGAUUUUCUUGAAGGGAGAGAGACAAGCAUGGAGUAGUUAAUUACAGUUGUACAGGAGAGAGAGACAGAAUUGCGUAAUUGUUCCAUGGAUUUGGAUUGCUGUGUGAUCAAUGCUUGUUUCUUUCAUGUUUUGUUUUUGUUUUUUUCCCUCCAUUAGUAUGCGUAAGUUUCCAGUUAUCAACUAGCACUAUGCUUCAGAAUGUUAUCCUUGAUUAAUAUAAGAUCAAAACAAAUGAUUUGUCAUGCUAUUCCUGAUGACAUGAUUUGAUUUUUAUGCAUAUAGGUACCUGGUACUGUUUUAGACACUAGAAAUCAGAGAGGGAAUUAUGCAGUCGCAGGCAAAUAUUUAAUCAAAAUUUGAAGAAAUAACAUGUUACCAACAUCUAAAGAAUUAAAUGCAGUAUCAGAAUAUCCAGGCUAACUGUUCCUUGCCUCAGCUAAAAUUUGCAGAAUCUGGACAGAGUUCAUGUAUUUUAGUGGGUCAAGAUCUGGAUUAAUAUUAAAAUUAAAAGAAAAUAUAAAACGUGAGGGCAAAACACUCCACAGUGUUUUUCCAGUGUUUUGCCCAUCUCAAAACUACAUGUAUAACCAGUUAUGGGAGGUGCUUUUCUAUUUUCACAUGGAUACAUUAGUCAUAUGGAGAUACAUCCAUUUUUUAAAAUUUUUAUGCAAAAUAAAAUGAUUUCAUUACCUUUAAAAUUAAUUUUUUUUAAAGUUGAAGCUUAAGGUGUUUUGAUAUUUUCAACUUUUUAUGCAAUUUAUAAUAACUAAAUUAUCCCUAAAAAAUAAAAUUUCAUUCAUGAUUAGGGGUGUUUUGGUAUUUUUGUAAUGGAUUUUUUUGAUAUAAUUAGGAUGGUGGAGGGGGCUUCACAGAGAUUUCAAUCUUUUAUACCCAAUAAAAUUACUUAACUACCAUGGCUAUCAAAAAUCUAAAGUUUCCUUGCAUGAGCUUUUUCAUCUUUUACUCUUAGAUUUUUUUUUUUUUGCUGCACUAGCGAGUGGAUGCAACCAGUAUGGGAAAUUGCCUUCUAAAUUAUAAUUCUAUAGCCUUAUAAAUUGCUGAUAUGAGCUAGGCCCAUGUUUCAACCUUGAAAUCUAUGCCUAAUCAAGCCCAAUUGGUCCAAAACUCAUGUCCAGGCUCACUGAGAAUACAUUGGACUCGGACUCAAGCAGACUGGUCCAUGAUUUGGUUUGAUGGUAGCACAUGAACACCUUUUUUAAAUAAAAUUUACUUAUUAAUAAUUUAAAGAUAUAAUUAAAUUAAAACAUUAAUAAAUUAGAGAAAGAAUAUGGUUGUCCCUCCACUACUAAAACAAUAUUUUAUUGGUCCCUCCACCAACUUAAUAUCAUACUUGUCCCUUCAUAAUAAUGUUUUAUUAAAUAACAAUCAUCAGUCAUAAUAAAUAGAUUAAUUUUUUUAUUAAUUUUUUUCUUUAAAAUAAAUGGAGAAAAUAAUUAAAAGGAUAUUAUUAGUGAUUCACUAAGCACUAUAAAAUUUAUCUUAGCUCUUGUUCUUAAGUACAUUCCAAUCAUAAAAAGAAAAAAAAUAUAUAAAGGGAUUAAAUAUCUAUCUAUCACAAUUGAAGGAUAGAGCAGACCGUUUGUAUGACAGUGGGUACAAGAAGAAAACUAGCUGCAAAAACAGAGAUGCUAGUCCAUGGAUUUUUGAAAUAAACCUGCUUCAAGGUUGCCUUCCACUUGUGCCUACGCUUUGUGUGACUUCAGGUCUUCGCAGACACCCGAAAGAAAAACUAUUUUUAGUGACAACAUUUUCUUUGUCGAGGCUGUAAAGAAUAUUUGACACUGCUUCGUCACUGUUUAGCAUAUUUUUCAAAUUCUCAUUACGAGCAAGCACUUCCACAUCAUUAGGAGCACGGACGAGGCAGCCGACGAAAGUAAUAUAUUCACUUACGAAAAUAUACUCCAACCUAUAAUGGCAUUGCUCAAAGGCCUGGAGAUUUCUGAAUAAGAUUUCUGUAGUGUCAUCUAUUUUCAGUUGUGGAAUUUCUAGAAUCCCAUUACUGAAUCUUAUGUCAAAUAGUGAGCCUUUUUCUGGAUUCUUAAACUUCACUCCAGAUUGAUGCAGCUCCGUUGUUGUGGGUGCGCUUAAGAAAGUAGUUUUUCUCGCUGGAACAUGUUGUUCCCUUGGCUGCUGACACUUUCUUAGGAAGUCAGUGAAAUGUAGGACCCCUGAGGAAUCGAUUUUUUUCCAACUGUCCUCUUUUACCCAAUUAGCCCAGAUUUCUUUUAAUAACUCACAGGUAAGUUCAAUGAUGGUACAAUUCGUAGGAUUGGCUUCACAGGAUAGCUCAAACUGAAGAGAUAUGGAAAUAUAUGCAGAGAUUACAUGCAGGAUUCAAGUGCAGAAAUCCUGCAUGGAUCUUCUGCAUACAUCACUCUGUUGAGAGAUCCCCUGCUAUAAUUCUUCAUUCCAUUUACUUCAUGAUUUCCAUAAUUCCUGCAUCAAAUCAUGUAUAUAUAUAUAUAUAUAGUAAGAAUCAAUGACCUGUAAUGUAGUAAUGUAUGAAAUGCCUAUUUAAAGGCACGAACAAUAUACAUAAAUACAAGUUCAGCUUUCCUACACAAACAACUUCUCGAGGAAGAAAAAUGGAAGCUGAUUUUCUAGCAAGCACAUAUCGAACACUACGUCAACAAACUUCCAUGGACGAAAGAAAAUCUGGUCACUACGUCGACUUUCAUAAGACUCUCCAACGCAAUUGAACUUCAGUAAGACCAUAAUAAUGAAGACAGCAUCCAGUAAUUAAGAUCAUUGUUGCGAAGUCUUUCCUACUAAGAUUAAUGGUGUCUGCAUAACAAUCACGCACUUCUGUUUCGUUCUCCUUAAUAAUGUUAAUUAAAUCCUCCACACUUGCCUUGCUCCGCUCAAGAAAUUGUUGCAGGUACAUUAUUUUGUGGUCUUCCGUAGCUUUUAGAUUUUCUUUACCAUGGUGAAUUGGCCCUAUUGAGACCAAUCGAGGUGUAUAUGCCUCUUCAUUUAACUCAAUCGUUCGGGGACUCUAUAGAUGCAGCAUGCCGGGGUGAAAGCCUUCUUGAUCUUCAAUUGCUCCCUCAAAGAAUUGGUUAUCUCAUUGAUAUCAAGUGAAACUUCAUCGCUCUGAUCCAUUAUCUGCUGAUCAGCUACAUUACAAUAUAUGGACUCACUAUUUAGCAUCUUAUUAUCUGGCCCAUGUUGUUUAAUGUCUACCUUUAAAAAUGUGUGUAGAGAUGCUACCCAGUUCAAGAUUCAGAGUGAAAAAAAAGAAGACCCUGCCAAAUGAAACCACCCUUAAAAAAGUAUUUAGGGGUGUUUGUGAAUAUGAUAGUGGUUGAUUUUUAAAGUAUUUUUGACUUAGAAAUACAUCAAAAUAAUAUUUUAUUUUAUUUUUAAUUUUUUUUUUAAUAACAGCAUAUCAAAAUGAUUUAAAAUCAUAAAAAAAAUUUAAACAAAAAUAUUUUUUAAAUUUUACCUAAUCCCUUUGAAACACAAUACCAAACAGAGCUAUUAGUGUCACUAAUAAAUUGUGAAAUAGCUUACAAGAAAAAUCAGGAAUUAAUCGAAAACCUUAUAAUGAUCGAAGUCAAUGCAUGUGGGAUUACUCAAAACAAUAAUUAAAAAGUGCAUGUCAGUAGUUGAACCUAGAAGAAUUUAGCAAAAAUCUAAUUGUUUUAGAGUGAUGAAGGGAGAUGAUUCCUUCUUGGGACUGUUUUGAGGUUUCCAAGAGCAUGAAUGGUUUGAUCAACCUUUGAUGAAGGUGGAAAUCUCAACCACCAUUAAAAGGAAAACAAAAUAAGGCUCAAAAAUCGGUUGCUUCUAUGGACAGCACUACUGUUGUUCUAGGCUGUUUGGGAUUUUGCUGAAUGGUGGUGAUGGUGUUAGGUGCAGGGUUUUGGGUGAAUUUUGAUGGUGCUUGGAGGGUUUUGGGUGGAGGAAGCCAGUGGUUUGUGUGUUUGUUCAGGGAUAAGGCCAGUGGCUUGUGGUGCUAUAUAUUUUGCUGGAAGUGUGUACGGGUGAUUUCCAUGGAGGUUUUCUAAGGAGGUUUUGAUGGAGGAAAAUUCCUCACCUCUUCUUAUUCUACGCAAAAUUCUUCGCCAACCUUUUCUGACUCAGUUCUUUUGGCUGGUGGAAUUAUCUUUUUGGUAUAUUGUUAUGGGAUGGCCCCCAAAACAAAAUGAUACAAAAUAAGUUAUAUAUUAAAAUCUCUUCAAUUAAAAUAAUUAAUAAUGUGCCUUAUCUCCACAUAAUAUGUAUCAAACGAUAUAAAGUAACUAUUAAAAUAAAUAAUAAUUGUAUUUUUUUUUAUUAUGAAACUUACCUAAUAAGUUAUAUAUUUGUAAAAAAAAAUCUAAGAGUUCGUACUCGUAUAAUGUUAAAUACUUAAUUUUUUGGGGGAAAAAAACAAAUUGGUGAGGUUAUGGAAACUGUAACAUAUAUUUGGUAUCUUUAAAUGAUUUAUUUAUUAUAAAAUCACAUUUUAUCAUUAGAAAAAAGUAUGAUAAAGAAAGGUGCAAAUGAUGUUGAUAAUUUUGUUUCUCUUAUGAAAAUUAUUUCUUAAACAAAUUUUAUUUCAAAUAAAAAACAUGGAAAAAUAUUGGAUAAUAUUGAAUCAGAAUUUUAAAAAUCAAAAUAAAAUCAAUGAAGACUCUAUAUUGGUAUUUUCCAUUCUUGAUUUUUUAGACUCAAAUUUUGUGAACAAACAUUGGACAGAAUUUAUUAAUUUUUUCUAUAUGCUCCAAAUCGAUGUGAGAGGUGCAUCUUAAAGAUGGUCCUAGAGAGGGACUUGGUCUCUGUUAACCAACAAACUGUAAACUAUCCAUUUCCUUACGACUAAUUAUUUAUGACAUGAUCUAAGAUGAAAGAAAGCACACGCUGAAGUCUUAAACCCCAUGUCAAGUGCAAGGCAUAGAAUAAAACAAUUUCAGUUUGUAAGAAACAAUCAGAACAAAUUAUACAGUCUCAUUACUUGGAAUUUCCAUUGAAAACAAGGAUUAUGGGUAUUGAGUACAUAGCAACAUGAAAGAAUUGAAAUUGCAGAAGCUAAACUACUUGAAGUAUAGAGCAGACGGAUUGUAUGACAGUCAGAAUCAGAAGAGUAACAGCUCCUGAAACAGAGAUGGCUGCCCAUGGGGUAUUGAAAUAGCUUUGCUUUAAAUUUGCCUUCCACUUGUUCCAUGGCCUUUCGCAGAAUGCAUUCAAAUCAUUAAUGAGACCUGUAAAGUGAAAAUCAUCUCGCGACACUAAAUUUUCCUUGUUGAGAUUGUAAAAUAGUUGUACCACUUCCUCAUUAGAUGAUAGCCAGUUUUCUAUAAUGCGAUUUUCAACAAGUAUUUCCACAUCCUUACAGGCACUGACAAAGAGACCCAUCAAGAAGAUGUAGUCACCAACAUAAUCAUAUUUCAGGUCAUGGCAUUGCUCAAAGGCUUGCAUAUUCCUGAUUAUGAUUUCUGUACCGUCAACUAACUUUAAUCGUGAAAUUUCUAAUCUCCCUUUAUUUCCGUCGAAUUUUACUUCAAGAAGUUUUUUGCUUGAACUCAACACAAACUUGACCCCAGCCUGGUGGAGCUCCUUUACACUGGGUGCGGCUAGAACUUGGAGUUUCUCACUCGGUUUCUGUUUAGUUGGCUGAUGAUAAAUUCUAAGAAGGUCAACCAAAUGUUUGGCUUCGGAGAAAUCUAUUUUCUCCAAAAUGUCCCCUACUGCCCACGAAUCCCAUUCAACUGUAAAGAACCUAUGAGUAAGCUCAAUCACAGUAUAUUUCCGGGAAUUGACGAAUAUACUGGAUAGUCUAUACAACUCCUCGAGGAUGAAGAACGGGAGUUGAUUUUCAAGCAAGCAGAUAUCAGCCUUUACAUCGAACUUCUUCCAUGGAGGAUAGAAAAUGUUGUCUCUGCUUCCUCUGAAGUCUCUGUAAUUCCACUUCAGCAAGAACAUAAUGACUGUCGCACCCGACAUCGCGGCGGCCCUAAAAAAUUUCUCGAUUGUGGAAAAAGAACAGAUUUCUGGCAUCUUGUUCUUUUAGAAAAAAUGUCUUGUUUGAGGAGUCGCCACCUAGUAUUAUGGUCACUAGGAACCCUAACUGGUCAACAGAGAUUCUAUGGUUCGGGACUGGUUACGUAAAAGGAAGAUAUUAGCACCCCUUAAACGUUCUGCCUAAGGCAAACUGCAUUGCUGUUUUGUCUUAAAUUGCUGCUAAAUGUUUAUUAGUUUAUGCUUUGAUCAUUUGUUUAUAAUAUUCCUGACUCUGGCGUCAGUGAAUAUUCGAGCUCGAAUAAUUCCAACUCUGGCGUUGGUAAAAAUUCGUAGCUACGAAAAUUUAGAUCAAUAUUUUUUUAUUCCCUACUCUAGCGCCAGUGAAUAAAUAAAUAAAAAUAAAUUGAUUUUUACGCAUGCACAUAUUUUUUAUCUUUCUAGCUAAAUAAAAUAAAAUACACCGAAUAAAAAUAAUAUAAAUUUAAACCGGUAUUUUUAUUCCUGACUCUGGCGUCAGUGAAUAAACCAGUAAAUUUACAUUAUUUUUAUUCAUGCAUACACAUUUUUUAUUUUUUUAUUUUUUCUACUUUUUUUUUUAUUUUUUCUGUUUUUUUAUUUUUUCUAUAUUUUUUUGGGGCUGGGCCCAGCUCAGCCCACAUGGGCUGGGCUAGACCCAGCCAGCCCAGCCCGGUCACUAGCCCAAGCCAGUGACCCGGCUGGGCAAAAAUCAAAGUAAAGCACGCGUGAAGUGAUUUCACGCGUGCAUGAGCAGAAUAGAGGAAAUGAGUUAGAAUGUGUGAAUUAAAAUUCAAAGUAAACACUAGCCGGUGAAUUAAAAUGAAAAGCGGGGAAGAGGAAGAACUUACCUGGUCUGCUGGAGGCGAAGUUUUCUUGUUCUCUGGCUCUUCUUCGUUUUUGUUCGCCUGGCUUGCUCUCUGAUUCAGGAGACGGAGGCGUGAUGGAUGACCGGCCAAAGCUCUGCUUCGGUUCCCUUGUAUGCUCCUGCGUUGUCCUCUUGUUCUUCCUCUGUUUCGGGUUUUUUUCUUGCUGGUUCUCGGGUUUUUCUCCUCUGUUCUUUUCUCCGGUUUCUGGUUUCUCGUCUGGGUUCAGCUCCCGUUUUUCUUCUCCUUUUCAGUCCAAUUCCCCCAGUUUUUCUUCUUUGUUUGUGUCUCUGCCCAGUCUUCUCCGUUCAAGACGAAGACAAAUGGUGGUAAAAGCACGAGGAUUUGUUGCUGGUUGAGUGACCAGAAGUUUCCCUGGGUUCUGUCUCUCUUCGUCCUCUUUACUGGGUUUUUUUCGUCUGGGAAUUUUAGCCUCCGGGUCCUCCUUUUCUCUUAGUUUUUCCCCUUUUCGGUCGCUCACCGUUUUUUUUUUUUUUUCGUUCUUGGCUUUCUUUUUGUCUGUGUUUUGCUGGGUUUCUUCCCUCUGUCUUGCCCUUGUCCCCUUCGCGAGGUCGCCUUUGCUCCGCUUUUAUAGAACCAGCGGCAACCUUGGUGGUAACGGCUGCCCCCCUCCUAAAUGAUCCGUAACCGACGCAUUUGAAUGAAGAAAACGUCUGCCAUCAUUGCCAACGGACGAAGCGCCUCUGCCUUUAAUGGCAGAGCCGUUGCAGAGUAGAGAGACGGUGAACAGUCGUUGCAAAACGACCCCGUUUUGCUGGCUACGAAUUUGGUCCUUGUGAUUCUUCUAAUUUUGCAAUCAAACCCCCUGCUUAAAAUAUAAUUGGAUCCUUACAUUUCUGCGCGAUUUUCAAGUUGGUCCUUGGAUUUUAAUUUUUGCAAUUUGAACCCCAAUUAAACCCCAAACUUUGCUAUUUCUUCAAUUAAGUCCCUGAUUUCAUUAAUUUAAUUAAAUCCAAGUCCAAUUAAGUCUCAAAACUUAUCAAUUCUCCAAUUAAACCCUUAAUUGGAUUAAUUAAAUUAAGUCCCUGAUUUCAUUAAUUUAAUUAAAUCCAAGUCCAAUUAAGUCUCAAAACUUAUCAAUUCUCCAAUUAAACCCUUAAUUGGAUUAAUUAAAUUAAUUUCAAGCUUAAUUAAGUCUCAAAACUUAUCAAUUCUCCAAUUAAACCCUUGAUUGGAUUAAUUAAAUUAAUUCCAAAGUUUAAUUAAACCACAAAACUUCCAAUCAUGUUGUCUUUAACCCAAAAUUUAAUUCAUUCUUCAUUUAUUUCAUUUUACUUGUUUUUUCAUCAUUAUCAUCAUUUUUUUAUCCUUUUCAGUAAAUAAAAUAAUAAUAAUAAUAAUUAAAAUAAAAUGGUCAAAAAUUAGGUUAUGACAAUGACGAAGGCAGCAUCCAUUAAGAUCAUUUUUAUGAGGUUUUCACUACUAAAUUCAAUGGUUUCAGCAUAGAAAUCACACAAUCUUGUUUCAUUCUCCAUAAUAAAUUCAAUAAAAUCCUCCAAGCUUACCUCGCUCCACUCAAGAAAUUCCCGCAGAUACAUUCUUUUGUGGUCUUUCAUAGCUUUUAGCAUUUCUUCACCAUGGUGAAUUGGUCCUAUGGAGACUACACGAGGUGUGUAGGCCUUUUCGUUCAACUCGCGUAAUCGCUCAGGAACUUUAUAUAUACAACAUGUCUUGGAGAAAGCAUAUGAAAUUUGAAGAUCUUCCUUCACAGAUUUGGCUAAUUUAUCAACAUCAAGUGAAACUUUAUGACUCUGCUCCUGAUUAGUACUUGAUGUUCCACUACUUUCCAUCCUGUCUGUUACUGAAUUGAGAUAACAGCUAGUAUUAGAAAGUUUCGGUGGAAUAUGGAGUACAUGUGAAUCCCAAUAAAACAAAAACUCACUCCAGUUUCAGAUUUGACAAGUUGAACAAGAGAACAAGAAUUAACUAAACAUGUUGACAGUUGCCUCAUUUGCUGCUGAAGAAGAGGUCUUCGAUACUGAGAAGACUGAGAAGUUUUAGUCAAGAUUAGCUAUAAUUAGCAUGUUUGUUACAAAUAAAGCUGUUACAGAACAGCUCUUUGUUUGUUAAGAUUUCAUCAUUAUUUUUCUGUAGUUUGUUAUCAAAACUCUUCUAUAAAAGAGUGAUUUCAUUAAUAAAGAAUUAUGCUUGCAGUCACAAUAACAACAAUUAUUAUAGCUGUCCUAUUUUCUUUGUCUCUAUACUGUUAAACUACUUCAAAUUGGUAUCAGAGCUACAUUUGAUCUUACGGGACCAAGCUCGAGUGAAGAGAGUCACCUGUGAGAAACCUUUUUUUCACCAAACAUACAAACACCAAAGCCUCUUCUUUUUUUUCAAUGGCAUCAAAUAUGUAUUCUCUUGCAUCACCACCAGUAUUUACUGGUGAAAACUAUCAAAUGUGGGCUGCAAGAAUGAAAACAUACUUGCAGGGUUGUGAUUUCUGGGAUGCAAUAGAACAGGAACAUGAAUCCCAACCACUACCUGCUGAUCCUACUAUUGCUCAAAUCAGAAACCAUCGUGAGGAAAGAGCAAGAAAGUUCAAAGCAAAAACAUGUCUCUACUCUGCAGUUUCAGAAGCAAUAUUCCCCAGAAUAAUUGCACUUGAUACAGCCAAGCAAAUAUGGAAUUAUCUUCAAGAAGAAUUCCAUGGUAAUGAGAGAAUAAUUCAGAUGCAGGUAUUGAAUUUGAGAAGGGAGUUUGAGAUACAGAAGAUGAAAGAAACAGAAACAAUCAGAGAUUUUUCUAAUAGAUUACUUUCCAUAGUCAACAAAGUAAGACUAUUGGGAGAAGAUCUUCCUGAUAAAAGAGUUGUUGAAAAAAUUCUGGUGACUUUACCUGAAAGGUUUGAAUAAAAAAUUUCUUCCUUAGAAGAAUCUAAAGAUAUGUCAAAAAUAUCUUUGGCAGAAUUGCUCAAUGCUUUACAGGCACAAGAACAAAGAAGAAUAAUACGGCAAGAGGAGUCCAUGGAAGGAGCUUUUCAAGCCAAAAUGCAUGUUCAGAAAGGAGACAAAGGCAAAAAGAAGAUCAACAAAUACAAUGGAGCCGAUAGCAGCAAAAGAUCUAGAAACUUUCCUCCCUGCCAACACUGUAAGAAAACAAAUCACUUACAGAAAUAUUGCUGGUGGAGACCUGAUAUUAAAUGCAGAAAGUGUAAUCAACUGGGACAUAUGGAGAAGAUUUGCAAAAGCAAAACUAACCUGCAAGAAGAUGAAGCUCAAGUUGCAGAUCAACAAUAGGAGGAGCAGCUGUUUGUGGCUACUUGUUUUGCUAGCAAACAUGCAAGUGAUUGCUGGCUGAUAGAUAGUGGUUGCACAAACCACAUGACAAAUGAUGAAAAUCUAUUCAAGCAACUUGACAAAUCCAGUGUUUCUAAAGUCAGAAUUGGAAAUGGUGAAUAUAUUCCUGUCAAAGGAAAAUGAACAGUUGCUAUUGAAGGAAAUUCAGGUAUAAAACUCAUUUCAGAUGUUCUUUUUGUUCCUGAAAUUGAUCAGAAUCUGUUGAGUGUUGGUCAGCUUCUUGAAAAAGGAUACUCAUUGGUGUUUAAAGACAAACAUUGUUCAAUUUCUGAUCCUGCUGGAUUAGAAAUAUUCACUAUAAAGAUGAAAGGAAAAAGUUUUUCAAUUGACUGGAUGGAAGAGGAGUCUACUGCUUUUCUAAGCACAACAAAUCAGUCAGAAUUGUGGCACAAAAGGCUGGGGCAUUUUAAUCAAGCAACAUUGAUGCAGAUGCAGAAAAAGAAGAUGGUGCAGGGAAUGCCAAAACUGGAUGAAGAAAUCACAGUCUGUUCUUCUUGUCAAUAUGGCAAACAGAACAGACUUCCAUUUCCUCUAAACAAGGCCUGGAGAGCAAUGAAAAAGCUUCAGCUUAUUCAUACUGAUGUUGCUGGACCUCUGAAGACAAUAUCUCUAAAUGGAAGCAAGUAUUAUAUAGCUUUCAUUGACGAUUAUACAAGGAUGUGCUGGGUAUAUUUUCUAAAGUUUAAGACUGAGGUAGCAAGUGUUUUUCUGAAGUUUAAAAACUGGAUUGAAAAUCAAAGUGGUCAUAGAAUUCAGGUUGUAAGAUCUGAUAAUGGCACCGAAUACACAUCAAACAAGUUUGCCAAGUUUUGUCAUGAUGCAGGGAUUGAACAUCAAUAUACUACACCUUACACUCCUCAGCAAAAUGGUGUAAGUGAACGAAAAAACAGAACAAUCAUGGAGAUGGCAAGGUGUUUGUUAUUUGAGAAAGAUUUACCCAAGAAAUUUUGGGCAGAGGUUGUGAACACUGCUGUGUUCUUGUUGAAUAGGCUGCCAACAAGAGCAUUACAAAACAAUACUCCAUAUGAAGCUUGGCAUGGUUACAAACCUUCACUCCAAAAUUUAAAGAUUUUUGGUUGCUUAUGUUUCACCUAUGUUCCUCAGGUAGAAAGAGAUAAACUUGACAAAAAGGCUGAGACUGACAUCUUUGUUGGCUACAGCAAUGUUACAAAAGGCUACAGGGUCUUUCAACCUCAAACAGAAAAAGUGAUAGUUAGCAGAGAUAUCAAAUUCAUUGAAACCGAAAAGUGGAACUUCAAAGAUGCAAGUGCAGGUAUGGAGUUUGUGCAGGAUGUUGAAGACAUUGAUGAAGUACCAGUCAGAGGAACUAAGUUGCUUACAGAUAUUUAUCAAAGCUGCAAUGUAGCUGUGUUAGAACCUGCAGAAUUUGAAGAAGCCAAAAAUGAUCCAAAAUGGAUUGAUGCCAUAAAUGAAGAGCUGAGGAUGAUUGAGAAGAAUCAAACAUGGGAAUUGGUGGACAUGUCAGAGCACAAAAAACCUAUUGGAGUAAAAUGGGUUUACAGAACAAAAUUGAAUGCUGAUAGCACUAUCAACAAACACAAAGCUAGAUUGGUGGUUAAGGGUUAUGCACAGAUUUUUGGUGUUGAUUUUUCAGAGACAUUUGCACCAGUUGCACGCCUGGAUACCAUAAGAAUGCUACUAGCAGUUGCAGCUCAAAAAGGUUGGAAAAUCUUUCAACUUGAUGUGAAGUCUGCAUUCUUGAAUGGCUAUCUGUAGGAGGAGAUUUUCGUUGAACAACCAAAGGGAUUUGUUGUAAGAGGAGAAGAAGAAAAGGUUUACUUAUUAAAGAAAGCUUUAUAUGGAUUGAAACAGGCUCCAAGAACCUGGAAUAACAGGAUUGAUGAGCAUUUACUCAAACUUGACUUUAAGAAAAGUUUGAAUGAAUCAACCUUAUACAUCAGAAAUUCAAAUUCUGAUUACAUUGUGGUUUCACUUUAUGUGGAUGAUCUUUUUGUUACAGGAAACAAUCCAAGCAUGAUAAACAAAUUCAAAGCAGAAAUGAUGAAGGUUUUUGAAAUGACAGAUCUCGGUGAAAUGUCUUAUUUUCUUGGAAUGGAAGUGCAACAAAACCAGCAUGGAAUUUUUAUUUGUCAGCAGAAAUAUGCCAAAGAGAUUUUGAAGAAAUUCAAAAUGGAAGAAUGCAAAUCAAUGACUACUCCCAUAAACGUGAAAGAAAAAUUUUGUAAAGAUGAUGGGGCUGAUAAAGUUGAUGAAGCCAUUUACAGAAGCUUGAUUGGAUGUCUGAUGUAUCUCUCUGCUACAAGACCUGAUAUCAUGCAUGCUGUAAGCUUGUUAUCAAGGUUCAUGCAUUGUGCAAGUGAGGUUCACUUCAAGGCUGCGAAAAGAGUUGUGAGAUAUAUCAAAGGUACACUAAGCUAUGGCAUUCAGUUUAGUUGUAUUGAAAAUUUUGAUCUCCAAGGAUAUGCAGACAGUGAUUGGGCUGGCAGUUGUGAUGACAUGAAGAGCACCUCUGGAUAUUGUUUCAGUUUUGGAUCAGGAAUUUUCUCCUGGUGUUCAAAAAAACAAGAGGUAAUUGCUCAAUCAACAGCAGAGGCAGAGUAUGUUGCAGCUACUACAACUGCAAAUCAAGUUUUAUGGCUGAGAAAAAUCUUAGCAGAUUUGGACAUGGAGCAGAAGAAAGCUACUAGGGUCAAUGUUGAUAAUCAGGCUGCAAUUGCAAUAUCCAACAAUCCAAUCUUCCAUGGCAAAACAAAGCAUUUCAAGCUCAAGUAUUAUUUUCUGAGAGAGGUUCAGAAAAAUAAAGAGAUACAACUUAUUUAUUGCAGGACAGAAGACCAGUUUGCUGACAUUUUAACCAAGCCAUUGUCAAAAACAAGGUUUGAAAUAUUAAGAAACAAGAUAGGUGUCUGCAGCAAAAGAUACAAUGAGGAGUGUUAACAGUUGCCUCAUUUGCUGCUGAAGAAGAGGUCUUCGAUGCUGAGAAGACUGAGAAGUUUUAGUCAAGAUUAGCUUUCCAUUAUGUUAGCAUGUUUGUUACAAAUAAAGCUGUUAUAGAACAGCUCUUUGUUUGUUAAGAUUUUGUCAUUAUUUUUCUAUAGUUUGUUAUCAAAACUCUUCUAUAAAAAAGUGAUUUCAUUAAUAAAGAAUUAUGCUUGCAGUCACAAUAACAACAAUUAUUAUAGCUGUCCUAUUUUCUUUGUCUCUAUACUGUUAAACUACUUCAAAACAUAUACCUUUAAAAAUGUGUCUAGAUAUGACUUUGCAUUAUCUAUAUGAUCCAUAAGAGUAUUCACAGCACAUUCCAUGUCAAAUAAAACCUUACAAGGAUAGAAGUCAAUGCACCCUAAACGAAUUUUGUAAAAAUCCAAUUGUUUUAGAAAGAUAAAGUGAGGUGAUUCAGCUCACUUUUGGGAGGUUUUUGGAGACCUUCUUGGGACUGUUGUGAGGUGUCGAAAAACCUGAAUGGUUUGAUCAACCUUUGAUGAAGGUGGUAAUCUCAACUACCAACAAAAGUAAGUAAAGCAAGGCUUACUAGAGGUUGUUUCAAUGGACCGCGCUACAGUUGGUCUAGGCUGUGUGGGAUGGAUGCAUGGUGGUAAUGGUGUGAGGUGGAUUUGUCUGAAUUUCUAUGGUGCUUGGAGUACUUUGUGCGGAGGAGGAGGCUAUCCUAGCUAGGGAUAUCUAAUCCAUUUGGCAUAUCCUAUGGAUAUUCCUUGGGAUAAUUCCAGUAAACUUCUAGAUGAUCAUGUCCGAUACGGUCACCAAAGAUUUUUUCAAAAAUUCUCUAUUUGUAUACCAAAAUAAUGCAUUCAGAUUUCUAACCCAACCAGCAGUCAAAUAAAACAAAUGUCAUAUUACAUCUUCUUAAAUAAACUACUUUUCCUCAAAUAUCAAGUUGUUCCAAGUAUUUUACAUAGUACAAAUAAUGCUAAACAUAAAACCCCCAACACAUCUUUCAAACUUACAAUGUUUAUCCUGCAAAAAAAACCUUGUCAUUAACAUUAAAAUUAUUAACGGCAUAUGGUAUUACCUAGCUAGUUCAAACCUCUCCUCACCUACCUUGAGUUUAAUUAGGGAACAACCUCGAUUUUAAGAGACUAUUUAGAAAUGCGGUCUAAGUACUCGUGUUCCAAAAAAAUUUAAUUUUUUUUGUUUAAAAUUAAUAUUUUUUUAUAUUUUUUUAAUUGUUUUGAUGCGUUGAUAUCAAAAAUAAUUUUUUAAAAAUAAAAAAAAUAUUAUUUUAAUGUAUUUCUAAAUAAAAAAAACUUUAAAAAAUAACCGCAAUUGCACUCUCAAAUACUAUCAAAUCUUGUGUCUUUUUAUUUUUUAAAUGAAUAUUGUCAUUUGACAGCUACGUUUGUUUUACCGAGUCUCAUAUCACAGCUAUAUAUUAGCUAAUGUCAUCUGCAACUAGUGACAUUAUUAAAUAUCUUAUUUUGGGAUCUAUUUUAUGAAUAUGUUUUUUUAAUAUAUUCAUUAACGAAAGCUAACAAAAGAGGUGUAAAUUCAAACAUACAGUAGUUCAACUACUAAAAAUAAUAAAAAUAAAUUCAUGGGAUGUAAAUCAAAACGAUCAAUAGUUCAAGGAGUUUACUAGGAUUUUUCUUUUUUGAUAACCGGGAAGAGACCAUUUCAAAAAGAGAAACAUUGACUUCGAUUGAUUCUUAAAAGACUUUAAUGUAAUCUUGAGCUUGCCUUUGAUCAAUGGAGCAGUUUUCCUAUACGAAAUUAAUUAAGUGCAUGUUCAUAAGAAAAUUUCAACAUUUUCAGGUUAGACCAUUCAACGAAGAAAAUUCCACAAUAUGGCGUGCAAAUUUAGGUUCGGUUUCCGUGCCGACACCACCUAGUUUACAAAAUCAAUGAAGUAUGUUCAACUUGUCAUAUAAAAUCAUUCUCCAGUUAAGAAACUGGAGUGAGUUUUCGUCUCUCUGAGAUUCACAUGUACUAUAUAUAUAUCCCAACGAAACUUUCUAUUGAAACUACACAAUCAUUACCAAACUUUUAGUCUAGAGGUUUGUUAAGAAAGCUGUAGAAAUGUAUAGGGGAAGUUCGUCGCUAAAACACUGCUAAAGAAUUUGUGCAGAAAGUGAAAGCUGUUGCGAUUUACUUGACUUGGACUGGACGCUUUCAUAGAAAUCAAGGUAUGUUCUAAUUCUAAAGCUAUUAUGUUUACCAUUAAUUAUAAUUGUUUGCACGGUUAAUGUUGAUUAUUGGGUUAGGCCUGGUUAUUCAUGAAAGAUGAGCUUGAUUCAAGUAUUUAGAUAAAUACACAUAAACAAACACUAAAUUCAGAAUUUUUUAGUGUACACUACACAAGAUUACAAUUCUCUCUCUAACUCUUCUUAUUAUGUUGAUCACUCCGCCAAUUCAAACACUCAAAAUACAUGCCUAUUUAUAGAAAAUACGACAUUAAAAAGGUCAUUGAUUACAUCGCCUCUUUUACUAUCUUCUUCAUUUUUGAACUAUUACUGCACCUCCUUCAUUAAUGGCUAUUGCAUUCUUAAAUAUUGGUAUAGUUGCCUCCUUCUCUAACAAUGACUCCCACCCACUUCUAGAAAGUAUGGGUUGAUGAUAAGUUAUGAGUCAAGUUUAGUCAACAACUUGCCCCCUUAAACUUGACUUUCUAGGGUUAAUCAAUUUGAGCAUUGUAUUUGGUCUUACAAAUAUAUCAUGCUUGAGGGGCUCCGUGAAAUUAUCUACAAUUUGAUCAUAAGUCCUACAAAAGAUGAACUCCACUUCUUUGUUAUUGACAUGCUCUUUUAUGAAAUGGUAUCAAUAUGUUUGCUUUUCUUAUGAAAUUAAAAACUAGAUUCUUUGCUAAGAUAAUCGCUUAUCAAAAUAUAGAGAUCUGUGAGAUUGUCUUGUGAAAAUCCCGAGUACUUUAGAAUAUUUCUGAUCCAGAUACCAUGAUACUCAACUUCACAUAUGACAACAUUACAAUGGGUUGCUUAUUUGAUGAACAUAUGAAUGAUGUAUCUUUCAUAAAAAAUAUGAAUCCAAUCGUGUUUUUUUUUUCCCUUGUCAAGAUCUCUUCCCUAGUCGCUGUCUGAAUAGCAAAUAAGUCUGCAAUCUUCAGUUUAAUGAAUAGAUGACAUGACAAGUAUCCUCUUUGCUGUAUUCAGAUGGGACUAGUAUGGGGUCUCCAUAUUGUACCUGCUAGCCCAACUCUAGAAAGUAUAUCUGGUAUAGUACAAGUCAAAUACUUCAAGCUUCCAACUAGACUUUUGUCCCGUUUCAACCGUAGUUGUCACAAGAAUACAGUUUUAUAUCCCAAACUUCUUCAAAAUAUCUUUCGCAUAGUUGCUUUGGGAGAUGGAGAUUUCUUUCUUGUUUUGCACAACUUUUAUUCCAAGAAAAUGCAUAAUCUUGCCUAUAUUUAUUAUUUUGAAUUCUUUGAUCAUGCUCUUCUUGAAAGCAUCAAAAUAUUUGGAUUGUUAUCGGUGAAGAUUAAAUCAUCAACAUAUAAAUUGAACAAUUAUAGUACAUGUUCAUUAGGACACUUCUCAAACCCAUUGUUCAUAAAACAGUCAUUGAUCCUGGUAUUCCAUGCACUUAACCCAUAGGCUUUCUUUAGCUUGUACACCAUAUUUUCAUGGCCUUUUUUCACAUAUCCAGUGGUUGAUUAAUAUAGAUUCCUUUUUUAAGAAAGCCAUUAAAAAUGUUGAUUUCAAAUCUAGCUGGUAAAUCUUCCAUCUCUUCUGUGCAACUAGUGAAAUCAACAAUCUAAUGAUCUCAAGUCCAGUAAUUGGGCAAAGACAUCCCCCAUAGUGAAUUCUUUCUUUUUGUUUGUACCUUUUUGCUACAAGCUUAGUCUUGUACCUCUGAACUUCUCCAUGAGCUUUCCUUUUUAUCUUGUAAUGUAGACUAAUAUUUGGUCUAUUGGUUAUGGAAGAGUAGCAAUUCCUGAGAUCGUUCAGAACUUUAGAACUUCUGUGGUUAUUUUCAAUUUUUGAAAUUGUUGGGGGUGUUAAUUAAAUUUUAGAAACAUGAGGAAUUGUUAUAAAAUUUAUGAAAAUUUUGGAUGGCUUUGAAAUAUUUAGUGUCUAUUCUGAAAUUUAUGAAACUUAUAAUUUGGUUGUUUUGCAAUUUCAGAAAUUGGCCGAUCUGGUUUUUUCAGAUUGUCUUCUCCAGCGAAGGUGACUUUUCACGGUGAAACUUCAAGAGGCUCGUCUAGACUCUGUUUGGGCUGAUUAUUGCCUCAUUACAAUCGUCUUGUCAAAUACUUUUCAUUGGUAUAUUCAGAAUACACUUUCAAACAUUAUGAUUUCAGGGUAAAAAAUCAAGAACACCUUCUAUUUUUGCUUCUUAGGCUUUGAUACCAUAGUUAGGUGGAGUGGAUGAUUGAGGUUACUAGUGUUGCACCUCCAUGAGAGAUAAAUACACACAAACAAACACUAAAUUCAGAAUUCUUUCAAACAAUACUCAAGAUUACAAUGCUCUAUCUAACACUCUUUAAUCUCUUGAUCAAUCCACACAUCUAAACUCCCAAACAACAUGCCUAAGUAUAGGAAAACAAAACACUAAGAAACCUCAUUGAUUACAUCAACCCUUCUAUUUUCUUCAUUUUUGUUCUGUUACUGCACCUCCUUCAUUAAUGGCUAUUGCAUUCUUUAAUAUUGGUGGUUGCCUCUUUCUUUCACAAUUACACCCACCCACUUCUAGAAAGUAUAAGCUGAUGAUGUGUUAUGAGUUAAAAAUACUUUUUUGUGACCCGCUCCGACAAAAUACAAAUCAGUGAAAGUAUUAAUCUUCAAAGGCAUAGAUUCAGAAUUAAUAAAGGAAAAAUCAUUCCAUAAAACCAUGCUCAAUAAUGCUUUCAUGAAGGAAAAUUUUCCCAUUAUUUCUUUAUAUUUAAUUUUCAUCCCGAAGGUGAUAAACUAUAAAAAAAAUAAAAUCAACAAUGAUAAAAAUUGAUUAUUUGUUGCAAAAUAAAGAUCGAGUAAAAUGAAUUAUCUCAAUAGAAAACGAUUAAAAUAGUGUUUUUUUUUUAAUUUCUUUUUCGGGGGCUUGUAAAUGAGAAGGAACCUUUUGAAGCCAAUAUAAUUUAAUUGAGCUUGAGUAGCCAUGAAAAAUAUCUGCGUUUAGCCAUUAUAUUGUUGUUUUUGUGAACUUGUGAAAAGACGUGAUUUAAGAGAAUAUUGUUCGAAUUUGAUUUCUUGCGAAUAUUAUUUUGGUAUUUUAGUUUAUUUUUAUCAAUAGUGAUUAAUUAUACGUGCUGGUUCUGAACAGUGCAAGCCAUCAUCUGGGUUCAAGCACAAGAUGGAAAAUGGUGGAACAUCAAGUACUAAUCAGCAGAUGAUUGAUCAGAGCCAUGGAAAUGUUGGCGAAGAGGAAAAUUCACAACUUUCACUUGAUAUUAACAAGUUGGCGAAGUCCUUGAGAGCGGAUAUGGAAAUGUUGCAUUCUUUCUCCGAUCAAUGUUGUAUCUACAGAGUCCCUAUUCGACUACGUGAUUCGAAUGAAAAGAUCUUCACACCUCAAGUAGUAAACCUUGGUCCACUUCACCAUGGAAAAGAAGAGCUUAAAGCAAUGGAGGAGCACAAAAUAUUGUACUUGCA